AUUGGACGCUGGCGGAAUGCUUUACACAUGCAAGUCGAACGGCAGCACGGGGCAACCUGGUGGCGAGUGGCGAACGGGUGAGUAAUAUAUCGGAACGUGCCCAAUCGUGGGGGAUAACGUAGCGAAAGUUACGCUAAUACCGCAUACGAUCUACGGAUGAAAGCGGGGGAUCGCAAGACCUCGCGCGAAUGGAGCGGCCGAUAUCAGAUUAGGUAGUUGGUGGGGUAAAGGCUCACCAAGCCAACGAUCUGUAGCUGGUCUGAGAGGACGACCAGCCACACUGGAACUGAGACACGGUCCAGACUCCUACGGGAGGCAGCAGUGGGGAAUUUUGGACAAUGGGCGCAAGCCUGAUCCAGCCAUUCCGCGUGCAGGAUGAAGGCCUCGGUUG
RNAcentral lists this ribosomal RNA (391 nucleotides) under uncultured bacterium. RNAcentral's name for it is "bacterial SSU rRNA". It matches the Rfam family "Bacterial small subunit ribosomal RNA", at positions 30 to 425 of the family's 1533-position model. The record is from RNAcentral.